Molecule: transfer RNA, 80 nt
Filed under: Pelobates cultripes (western spadefoot toad)
Lineage: Eukaryota; Metazoa; Chordata; Amphibia; Anura; Pelobatidae
Description: tRNA.Gly
Rfam family: tRNA
About the family: Transfer RNA (tRNA) molecules are approximately 80 nucleotides in length. Their secondary structure includes four short double-helical elements and three loops (D, anti-codon, and T loops). Further hydrogen bonds mediate the characteristic L-shaped molecular structure. tRNAs have two regions of fundamental functional importance: the anti-codon, which is responsible for specific mRNA codon recognition, and the 3' end, to which the tRNAs corresponding amino acid is attached (by aminoacyl-tRNA synthetases). tRNAs cope with the degeneracy of the genetic code in two manners: having more than one tRNA (with a specific anti-codon) for a particular amino acid; and 'wobble' base-pairing, i.e. permitting non-standard base-pairing at the 3rd anti-codon position.
Source: RNAcentral
GACGAGGUGGCCGAGUGGUUAAGGCGAUGGACUUCCAAUCAUUGUGCCUGCACGCGUGGGUUCGAAACCCAUCCUCGUCG